This 258-nucleotide ribosomal RNA is filed under the name uncultured bacterium. Its description in RNAcentral is "partial 16S ribosomal RNA". It matches the Rfam family "Bacterial small subunit ribosomal RNA", at positions 15 to 266 of the family's 1533-position model. The record is from RNAcentral.
GAUCAUGGCUCAGGAUGAACGCUAGCUACAGGCUUAACACAUGCAAGUCGAGGGGCAUCAGGGUGUAGCAAUACACCGCUGGCGACCGGCGCACGGGUGAGUAACACGUAUCCAACCUGCCCUUUACUCGGGGAUAGCCUUUCGAAAGAAAGAUUAAUACCCGAUGGCAUAACAUGACCUCCUGGUUUUUGGUUUAUUAAAGAAUUUCGGUAGAGGAUGGGGAUUCGUUCCAUUAGGCAGUUGGCGGGGUAACGGCCC